ACAUACCGCUGGUGUACCAGUUGCGCCGCCAGGCGCAUCGCUGGGUAGCUACGUAUGGAUGAGAUAAACGCUGAAAGCAUCUAAGUGUGAAACUCACCUCAAGAUGAGAUUUCCCAUUCCUAUAUGGAAGUAAGACCCCUGAAAGAUGAUCAGGUAGAUAGGUUGGAAGUGGAAGUGCAGUGAUGUACGGAGCGGACCAAUACUAAUCGGUCGAGGACUUAACCAAG
This 227-nucleotide ribosomal RNA is filed under the name Staphylococcus haemolyticus. RNAcentral's name for it is "partial 23S ribosomal RNA". It matches the Rfam family "Bacterial large subunit ribosomal RNA", at positions 2701 to 2925 of the family's 2925-position model. Lineage: Bacteria; Bacillati; Bacillota; Bacilli; Caryophanales; Staphylococcaceae. The record is from RNAcentral.